GUGGUAAUGCCGGAUGCUCCAGUUGAUCGCAUGGUCUUCUGGGAAAGCUUUCGCGGUAUGGGAUGGGGUCGCGUCCUAUCAGCUUGACGGCGGGGUAACGGCCCACCGUGGCUUCGACGGGUAGCCGGCCUGAGAGGGCGACCGGCCACAUUGGGACUGAGAUACGGCCCAGACUCCUACGGGAGGCAGCAGUGGGGAAUAUUGCACAAUGGGCGCAAGCCUGAUGCAGCGACGCCGCGUGAGGGAUGGAGGCCUUCGGGUUGUAAACCUCUUUUAUCGGGGAGCAAGCGUGAGUGAGUUUACCCGUUGAAUAAGCACCGGCUAACUACGUGCCAGCAGCCGCGGUAAUACGUAGGGUGCAAGCGUUAUCCGGAAUUAUUGGGCGUAAAGGGCUCGUAGGCGGUUCGUCGCGUCCGGUGUGAAAGUCCAUCGCUUAACGGUGGAUCCGCGCCGGGUACGGGCGGGCUUGAGUGCGGUAGGGGAGACUGGAAUUCCCGGUGUAACGGUGGAAUGUGUAGAUAUCGAAAAAAAACA
This 534-nucleotide ribosomal RNA is filed under the name Bifidobacterium longum subsp. suillum. RNAcentral's name for it is "bacterial SSU rRNA". It matches the Rfam family "Bacterial small subunit ribosomal RNA", at positions 160 to 708 of the family's 1533-position model. The record is from RNAcentral. Lineage: Bacteria; Bacillati; Actinomycetota; Actinomycetes; Bifidobacteriales; Bifidobacteriaceae.